AUCACCUGUAAAGGAUUUUAAAGCAUUAACUUCCAAACAUCGACUCAACACUUACACUACUCAAGACUUGAGGGUUCCAGAUUAAAUGAGCAAACACAUGAAAUCCAGCCAGGGCUGUCGAGGCGCACGCUGUCGCAGCAGGAUGAAAGACAUGUCUGGUAUAUGGCUGGUCUAGAACUGAGACCCUCUCACCUUGGUCUCCUGCGUGCUCUGCAUACAGGAUUCACCACCAACCAUGCCCAGCACAUAUUCCUCUUCUGCUAGGCGACACUAUCAUCUCCAUUUCCUUUCAUAGAGAUUAAACAGUAGCAUCCAACUUUCUCAGAGCCGAGAAGCUCGUCCACAGUGAGGAAGAGGAGGAGGCUGACACUCAGAACUUAUCAGGAACGAGCUUCCGGUUAGGCCCUAACUGCGGAGUCUGGGCAGCUAGGAGUCUGCAUAGCAGACAGUAAUCCUGGGUUUUUUUCGGCUUCCUCCCUGCCUCAAAACCAGAAGAGAAGUCGCUGCAGAGCACUGUGAGGGGUGAGGUUAUUUCAAGCAAGUUCUUCCUGGGUUACCCCACAAGUGUGUUGUGUCCCCUAUGUCACAAAGUAACAUCUACUUUGCAUCACGUCUCAACUAUGAAUGACACUGGAAUAAACGGAAGACUCAAAUAA
This is a long non-coding RNA of Mus musculus (house mouse), 656 nucleotides long. RefSeq annotates it as predicted gene, 40116. NCBI's taxonomy places the organism in Eukaryota, Metazoa, Chordata, Mammalia, Rodentia, Muridae. The transcript is spliced from 2 exons. The record is from RefSeq and is a predicted model, not a curated record.